GACAAACGCUGGCGGCAUGCCUAACACAUGCAAGUCGAACGGACAGAACAGGGAAGCUUUUCGGAGUGGAACUGGAAAGUUAGUGGCGGAUGGGUGAGUAACGCGUGGACAACCUACCUUGUAAAGGGGAAUAACCUCGAGAAAUCGAAGCUAAUACCCCAUAAUAACCUUGCUUCGCAUGAAGUAAGGAGGAAAGGCGGCCUUAGCGCUGUCGAUACAAGAUGGGUCUGCGUCUGAUUAGCUAGUUGGUGAGGUAAAGGCUCACCAAGGCGACGAUCAGUAGCCGGCCUGAGAGGGUGAACGGCCACAUUGGGACUGAGACACGGCCCAAACUCCUACGGGAGGCAGCAGUGGGGAAUCUUCCGCAAUGGGCGAAAGCCUGACGGAGCAAUGCCGCGUGAGUGAGAAGGCCUUCGGGUUGUAAAACUCUGUCCUUAUCGAAGAGAGAGUGUUGUAGUAACUGACAAUACUAGGACGGUAGAUGAGGAGGAAGCCCCGGCUAACUAUGU
RNAcentral lists this ribosomal RNA (509 nucleotides) under uncultured bacterium. Its description in RNAcentral is "partial 16S ribosomal RNA". It matches the Rfam family "Bacterial small subunit ribosomal RNA", at positions 28 to 506 of the family's 1533-position model. The record is from RNAcentral.